CUGAGUAGAAGUAGCCAGGCUGUUUUCUGAGGGGAAACACUAAGAACAUGAAAUAUCUUGGUACUUCAAUGGCCAAGAAGGUGAAAAAUCACAGUGGAAUAUACAAAUAAAGGCUCUGCAUCUACUCAUCGUACAUGUACAGGCUUUACAAGGAGGUGAGUCCAGUCUGGAGCUCCAUGCCUACCGGGCCACGGCCUCGAUCCAGGGAGCUUUCUUUCCAAGUAUGCUCAGAAGCAGCUCGGCUCUCCCAGCUCAACCAGUAUGGAACAAUCACCCGCCUGGAGCUCUGCUCAGCCUUGGGAACUGUUCAUCUCUGUCGCCAUUCUAUGGAAGACUAAGCCUGGAUAUAAAGCGUACAUUUUGAUUAAAGUAUCUGGUUUUAUGAUUGUAACCUUUUGUGUUGGUGGUGGUCUUAGCAAUUGCAAAGGAUUAUUUUACUGGGAAAAUGCAUGUUCUCAGUCAAACUUGCCUGGAAUAAGGGUAAAAAUGUUCUGCAUAUGUCGGAGGUGCAUAGAAAGGCUAACUGUGUCACAGACUCAUUUCUUAAAUAAUUAUGGUUGUUAAUCGUAAACCUGUAGUGAAUGAAUGGUGAAAUUACGUUCUUCUUACUUGCCUACAGAUAAAGCUAUUGAAUGUUCGCUGGAGGGCGCUAGUCUACUGAACUUGACUAGUAAAAACUGAGCUAUAAUUAUUUCACAGUGGUUCCUAAAUUACACUCUGACAUUCUCUGAAACACUUUCACUAUUUAAAAACCUAUAUGAAAUCAGAUUUUGAGAAGUUUAUUUUAAAAAUUCAAGACUCGCACAAGACGCACACAACCACCCAGUUGUCAACACUGAGCCAGAGUAGGCGGGAAUGUAGUUUGUUGACCAAUGAAAAAGCGACCCUGGG
Esox lucius (northern pike) is the source of this 891-nucleotide long non-coding RNA. NCBI's taxonomy places the organism in Eukaryota, Metazoa, Chordata, Actinopteri, Esociformes, Esocidae. The record is from Ensembl.